Molecule: transfer RNA, 91 nt
Filed under: Sphingomicrobium clamense
Lineage: Bacteria; Pseudomonadati; Pseudomonadota; Alphaproteobacteria; Sphingomonadales; Sphingomicrobiaceae
Description: tRNA-Ser
Rfam family: tRNA
About the family: Transfer RNA (tRNA) molecules are approximately 80 nucleotides in length.
Source: RNAcentral
GGAGAGAUGGCUGAGUGGUCGAAAGCGCUGCACUCGAAAUGCAGUGUAGGGUAACCCCCUACCGUGGGUUCGAAUCCCACUCUCUCCGCCA